UUGACCUCAGAUCAGGUAGGAAUACCCGCUGAACUUAAGCAUAUCAAUAAGCGGAGGAAAAGAAACCAACAGGGAUUGCCCUAGUAACGGCGAGUGAAGCGGCAACAGCUCAAAUUUGAAAUCUGGCGCAAGCCCGAGUUGUAAUUUGUAGAGGAUGUUUCUGGCGACGUGCCUUCCGAGUUCCCUGGAACGGGACGCCAUAGAGGGUGAGAGCCCCGUACGGUUGGUUGCCUAGCCUCUGUGAAACUCCUUCAACGAGUCGAGUAGUUUGGGAAUGCUGCUCUAAAUGGGAGGUAUACGUCUUCUAAAGCUAAAUACCGGCCAGAGACCGAUAGCGCACAAGUAGAGUGAUCGAAAGAUGAAAAGCACUUUGAAAAGAGGGUUAAAUAGUACGUGAAAUUGUUGAAAGGGAAGCGUUUAUGACCAGACUUGCGCAGGUUGAUCAUCCGUCGUUCUCGGCGGUGCACUCUGCCUGCGCAGGCCAGCAUCAGUUCGCUCCGGGGGAUAAAGGCUUCGGGAAUGUAGCUCCCUCGGGAGUGUUAUAGACCGUUGCGUAAUACCCUGGAGCGGACUGAGGUUCGCGCUCUGCAAGG
This 593-nucleotide ribosomal RNA is filed under the name Sesquicillium phyllophilum. RNAcentral's name for it is "eukaryotic LSU rRNA". It matches the Rfam family "Eukaryotic large subunit ribosomal RNA", at positions 1 to 607 of the family's 3401-position model. The record is from RNAcentral. Lineage: Eukaryota; Fungi; Ascomycota; Sordariomycetes; Hypocreales; Bionectriaceae.